UGGGGAAUUUUGGACAAUGGGCGCAAGCCUGAUCCAGCCAUGCCGCGUGCAGGAUGCAGGCCUUCGGGUUGUAAACUGCUUUUGUACGGAGCGAAAAGGUGCCUUCUAAUAAAGGGCGCUCCUGACGGUACCGUAAGAAUAAGCACCGGCUAACUACGUGCCAGCAGCCGCGGUAAUACGAAGGGGGCUAGCGUUGUUCGGAAUUACUGGGCGGAAAGCGCACGUAGGCGGACCGAGCAGUUAGGGGUGAAAUCCCGGGGCUCAACCCCGGAACUGCCUCUAAUACUGUCGAUCUGGAGUUCGAGAGAGGUGAGUGUAAUGCCGAGUGUAGAGGUGAAAUUCGUAGAUAUUCGGAGGAACACCAGUGGCGAAGGCGGCUCACUGGCUCGAUACUGACGCUGAGGUGCGAAAGCAUGGGGAGC
RNAcentral lists this ribosomal RNA (422 nucleotides) under uncultured bacterium. Its description in RNAcentral is "bacterial SSU rRNA". It matches the Rfam family "Bacterial small subunit ribosomal RNA", at positions 355 to 769 of the family's 1533-position model. The record is from RNAcentral.